GAUGAAGAACGUAGCGAAAUGCGAUAAGUAGUGUGAAUUGCAGAAUUCAGUGAAUCAUCGAAUCUUUGAACGCACAUUGCGCCCCUUGGUAUUCCAUGGGGCAUGCUGUUCGAGCGUCAUUUGUACCUUCAAGCUUUGCUUGGUGUUGGGUGUUUGUCUCGCCUUUGCGUGUAGACUCGCCUUAAAAUAAUUGGCAGCCGGCGUAUUGAUUUCGGAGCGCAGUACAUCUCGCGCUUUGCACUCAUAACGACAGCGUCCAAAAGUACAUUUUACACUCUUGACCUCGGAUCAGGUAGGGAUACCCGCUGAACUUAAGCAUAUCAAUAAGCGGAGGA
This 335-nucleotide unclassified non-coding RNA is filed under the name soil metagenome. RNAcentral's name for it is "partial contains 5.8S ribosomal RNA, internal transcribed spacer 2, and large subunit ribosomal RNA". The stretch from base 1 to 119 matches the Rfam family "5.8S ribosomal RNA", at positions 35 to 154 of the family's 154-position model. The record is from RNAcentral.